RNAcentral lists this ribosomal RNA (484 nucleotides) under uncultured bacterium. Its description in RNAcentral is "partial 16S ribosomal RNA". It matches the Rfam family "Bacterial small subunit ribosomal RNA", at positions 28 to 523 of the family's 1533-position model. The record is from RNAcentral.
GACGAACGCUGGCGGCGUGCUUAACACAUGCAAGUCGAACGAUGAAGCCGGAGCUUGCUCUGGUGAAUUAGUGGCGAACGGGUGAGUAACACGUGAGUAACCUGCCCUUGACUCUGGGAUAACUGCGGGAAACUGUAGCUAAUACCGGAUACGACCCUCGGAGGCAUCUCCUGGGGGUGGAAAGAAUUUCGGUCAAGGAUGGACUCGCGGCCUAUCAGCGAGCUGGUGAGGUAAAGGCUCACCAAGGCGACGACGGGUAGCCGGCCUGAGAGGGUGACCGGCCACACUGGGACUGAGACACGGCCCAGACUCCUACGGGAGGCAGCAGUGGGGAAUAUUGCACAAUGGGCGCAGGCCUGAUGCAGCAACGCCGCGUGAGGGAUGACGGCCUUCGGGUUGUAAACCUCUUUCAGCAUCGACGAAGCGAAAGUGACGGUAGGUGCAGAAGAAGGACCGGCCAACUACGUGCCAGCCGCCGCAGUAA